Molecule: ribosomal RNA, 253 nt
Filed under: uncultured prokaryote
Also listed under: 1 other name
Description: partial 16S ribosomal RNA
Rfam family: Bacterial small subunit ribosomal RNA
Source: RNAcentral
CACGUAGGGGGCGAGCGUUGUCCGGAAUCACUGGGCGUAAAGCGCACGCAGGCGGAUGCGCGCGUCGGCUGUGAAAUGCACCGGCUCAACCGGUGCACUGCGGUCGAUACGGCGCGUCUGGAGUGCGGGAGAGGGAAGCGGAAUUCCCGGUGUAGCGGUGAAAUGCGUAGAUAUCGGGAGGAACGCCGGUGGCGAAGGCGGCUUCCUGGCCCGCAACUGACGCUCAUGUGCGAAAGCCAGGGGAGCGAACCGG